This 1677-nucleotide long non-coding RNA is filed under the name Cicer arietinum (chickpea). Its description in RNAcentral is "long non-coding RNA (CARI_LNC001980)". Lineage: Eukaryota; Viridiplantae; Streptophyta; Magnoliopsida; Fabales; Fabaceae. The record is from RNAcentral.
CUUCUCCUUAGACUCCACAUAUGGUAAUCUACAUCAAGCAUGUAUUCAACUGAUUCGCGUCGAAGCGGCGGCUCAGCUCUUGCUAGCCUUGCUGCCACGAUCUGCAUGGCCUGAUAACGGAGCCAAUCAAUGUGGCGAACAGGUAUUGGUUGAACAUAAUGCAUUUUGGGAAGCAAAGGUCUUCCAUAUUGAGCUACCAUAUUAACCCAAGCUGUGCAAGUGAACCUCACAGCCAAGUGAAGCUCUCCAUUCUUCUUUAGGCCAUUGGUUUGGAGAACCAAUAGAGGAUAAUAAUGAGUAUAUACUCUAUCAGUUUCGAGUGUUGAUAACCUUAUUCUCACCUUUCCAAUUCUCUGAUCUUUGUUGUCACUGCUCCCAUUGAGGUGGUGAUUGUCGAAAACACUAACCGUGAUCACAGUGCAUGGAUCAUGAACCUCCCAUGUAUACUGUUCAUUCCACCUAGGCGACAGUGUAUCAAGCAGAGUUCUUGUCCUAACCCAUUUGUUACCGUACUUGGCCACACAGUAUGCAUCAGUAGUCCUACCAUCUUUGCCUUUCAUAGGUAGCAAAUUCCGGGCACUAAGUAUCCCGAGUUCGAGAAUUCCAAUGUUUUUCCUCCUUAAGUGUUUGGACGACGGUUGAAGAUCGCUGCUGAAAUGUGUCGAUUCAUCAAGAACAUGAUACCCUGCUUCCAGACAAAUCCGGAGGUGAAUCUUGCUCGAGAAUUUCUCCUUCUUUCUCUCCGUCUCCUCUUCACCGACCUCACUAGGCCUAUGAAGAUUGAACCAACGUGCAUCCGGGAGCUUACCCGUCUCUUGUCUUUGCGGAACAUUUCUCACCGACAUGACCUCUCUUCCCAAGAUUUCAACAUUGUUAGGACCAAAUUUGUCCUCAACUGUCACAAUUAUAAAAUCCUCAAAAGGUUCACAACUUAGUAUAGCUUGAGCUCUUUCUCCUUGAGUAGCUAAAUCUCCAACCACAGUCUGUACUCUACCUGCAACACUUCUCAAUCUGUCAUACCUCAUUCUCACAAUAUCCGAAGGUCUUGAAGUUGGAAAAGUGUCAAAUUCCUCAUCCAAUUCAUCUGGAUGCACAGCUUCUGCUUGCGAAAGUCUAGCAUCCAUGUGUGGUGGAUUCCUUGGCCGGAACCGGUAAUUCCAAAUCCCGAUUACAAACAAAUAAAGAAAACUGGUUGGCAAUAUCAAUUCAGGGUAGAAAAUAAGUAUCAAGAACAAGACAUGAACAAGGCAAGUUGUGAUUGGGUUUCUCCAAGUGCAAAUAUCAUCAAGCCAUUUACACACAGCUGAAAAACCCGAGAGUAGCGACAUUAUGCGGUGAAAAUUGGCUUUGCUUCUCCUUAGACUCCACAUAUGGUAAUCUACAUCAAGCAUGUAUUCAACUGAUUCGCGUCGAAGCGGCGGCUCAGCUCUUGCUAGCCUUGCUGCCACGAUCUGCAUGGCCUGAUAACGGAGCCAAUCAAUGUGGCGAACAGGUAUUGGUUGAACAUAAUGCAUUUUGGGAAGCAAAGGUCUUCCAUAUUGAGCUACCAUAUUAACCCAAGCUGUGCAAGUGAACCUCACAGCCAAGUGAAGCUCUCCAUUCUUCUUUAGGCCAUUGGUUUGGAGAACCAAUAGAGGAUAAUAAUGAGUAUAUACUCUAUCAGUUUCGAGUGUUGAU